RNAcentral lists this unclassified non-coding RNA (388 nucleotides) under Hevea brasiliensis (rubber tree). Lineage: Eukaryota; Viridiplantae; Streptophyta; Magnoliopsida; Malpighiales; Euphorbiaceae. The record is from RNAcentral.
ACAAGAAGAAGAUAGAAAAAAAAAUAAUUGUCUAUCUUAGCUCUGAUACCAUGUUCGAACUGAUUUGAGAGAGAAAAAAGAAUCUUCUCAUUGAUUGAUUACUAAAGAAUAUAGAAAAAUGUCUUUAUCUACUAAGAUUUUCUAGAGAGAAUUAUCAACUUUCUAUUGCAAGAUACAUGUGUUCAGCCACUAAACUAACUACACUAAAGCGGUGUAGUAUAAAUAACUUUAUUCUCUAACAUUUUAUGUUGUGGCUAAUGACCCAAAUGCUUAUUUGGUAGGUUUUAGCCAUUAAAUAUCAGCACCUGUGGAAGUACGAGGCUGUUACUAUUACAUAUUACAAUAUUUUUCUUGUAAUGUUAUGUGCAGUUAUUUUUUUUGAGUUGGG